RNAcentral lists this ribosomal RNA (433 nucleotides) under uncultured bacterium. RNAcentral's name for it is "partial 16S ribosomal RNA". It matches the Rfam family "Bacterial small subunit ribosomal RNA", at positions 29 to 507 of the family's 1533-position model. The record is from RNAcentral.
AGCGAACGCUGGCGGCAGGCCUAACACAUGCAAGUCGAACGAACUCUUCGGAGUUAGUGGCGGACGGGUGAGUAACACGUGGGAACGUGCCUUUUGGUUCGGAAUAACUCAGGGAAACUUGUGCUAAUACCGAAUGUGCCCUUCGGGGGAAAGAUUUAUCGCCAUUAGAGCGGCCCGCGUCUGAUUAGCUAGUUGGUGAGGUAACGGCUCACCAAGGCGACGAUCAGUAGCUGGUCUGAGAGGAUGACCAGCCACACUGGGACUGAGACGCGGCCCAGACUCCUACGGGAGGCAGCAGUGGGGAAUCUUGCGAAAUGGGCGAAAGCCUGACGCAGCCAUGCCGCGUGAAUGAUGAAGGUCUUAGGAUUGUAAAAUUCUUUCACCGGGGACGAUAAUGACGGUACCCGGAGAAGAAGCCCCGGCUAACUUCGUG